CCCCCCCGAAUUGUGUCUUAAAAAGGCGCCAUCGGCCGCUCUCGUCGCUCAAAUCCCUUGGAACAGGGUAUCGGAGAAGGUGAGAAUCCUGUGCCGUGGCGAAGAGCGGCCGCACGAUGCGUCCUUGUCGAGUCGGGUUGCUUGGGAUUGCAGCUUGAAGUGGGUGGUAAAUUCCAUCUAAAGCUAAAUACUGGCGAGAGACCGAUAGCGAACAAGUACCGUGAGGGAAAGAUGCAAAGAACUUUGAAAAGAGAG
This 255-nucleotide ribosomal RNA is filed under the name Oolithotus fragilis. Its description in RNAcentral is "partial large subunit ribosomal RNA". It matches the Rfam family "Eukaryotic large subunit ribosomal RNA", at positions 133 to 387 of the family's 3401-position model. The record is from RNAcentral. Lineage: Eukaryota; Haptophyta; Coccolithales; Calcidiscaceae.